Suncus etruscus (white-toothed pygmy shrew) is the source of this 156-nucleotide small nuclear RNA. RefSeq annotates it as U1 spliceosomal RNA. NCBI's taxonomy places the organism in Eukaryota, Metazoa, Chordata, Mammalia, Eulipotyphla, Soricidae. The transcript has a single exon. The record is from RefSeq and is a predicted model, not a curated record.
AUACUUACCUGGCAAGAGAGAUACCAUGAUAGUGAAGGUGGUUUCCCCAGGGGGAGUCUUAUCCAUUGCCCGCCAGAUGUGCUGACCCCUAAAAUUUCCCUAAAGUGGAAAAAUCUACUGCUAUGGUAGUGGGGAACUGCAUUUGGCUCUCCUCUG